UCUCUCUCUCUCUCUCUCUCGCCAGUUGCCCCUUGCCCGGUUCACAUUAGAGCCAAAAAAUUCAAAGGCAACUCCUUUAUUGGAUUUUCAAAGCCUUGGAGUUUAAGCCAUUUCUCCUUCUGUCUGUCUCAGCUGCCUCCUUCUUCCUCUUCUUAUGUAUGGAAUUCCGGAAAUGAAGGGAUCAAAUGCUUUCUUUAUUUUCUCUAUCCAACUCCUAUUCAUUGGUCUUUGUCUCUUCGUCGCCGGUUGUUCUAGCCUGAAGCUAGGAGAGACCUGCUCGUCAGGUAACGCGUGCGACCCUGGAUUGCGAUGCGAAACUUGUCCUGCUAAUGGAAAUACCAGACCCAGAUGUAUCCGGAUCCAGCCUUUGAGCCCAACAUCAAAAGUAAAAGGUCUGCCAUUCAACAAAUAUUCAUGGCUAACAACCCACAACUCUUACGCUAUUACAAGCGCUACAUCGGCCGCGGGUUCGGCUCUUUUAUCUCCUACGAAUCAAGAGGACUCCGUUACCAGUCAACUCAAUAAUGGGGUCCGAGGGCUUAUGCUGGAUAUGUAUGACUUUCAGAAUGGCAUCUGGCUAUGUCACUCUUUUGGUGGCCAAUGUUACAACUACACAGCAUUUCAACCUGCCAUCAACGUGCUAAAAGAGAUUGAGGCCUUCUUGUCUGCAAACCCAUCAGAGAUUGUCACAAUUUUCAUCGAGGAUUAUGUGAUGGCCCCACUAGGCUUGACUAAGGUUUUUAAUGCAUCUAAUCUUAAUAAAUACUGGUUCCCUGUAUCAAAGAUGCCAAAGAAUGGUGAAGAUUGGCCAACAGUGGAUGAUAUGGUCCAGCAGAAUGAGCGCUUGGUGGUCUUUACUUCCAAAUCAGCUAAAGAGGCUUCUGAGGGCAUUGCUUAUACUUGGAAAUAUGUGGUAGAAAAUCAAUAUGGGGAUGAUGGGAUGAAAGCUGGUUCAUGUCCAAAUAGGGCUGAAUCAUCUCCCAUGAACACAGCAACAAUAUCACUGAUUCUUCAAAAUUAUUUUCCAACUAAUCCCAAUGCAACAGAAACUUGCCUGGACAAUUCAGCUCCAUUAAUUAGCAUAACCAACAGUUGCUAUGAAGCAGCUGGCAAACGGUGGCCAAACUUCAUUGCUGUUGACUUUUAUCAGAGGAGUGAUGGUGGGGGGGCCCCAGAAGCUGUGGACGAAGUGAAUGGUCAGCUUACUUGUGGAUGUGCCAAUAUUGCCUACUGCAAGGCAAACGCAAAACGUGGUACAUGUGACGUUCCUCCAAUCGCACCCCCUCCCCCUGCUGCUGCUACUGGAAACUCACAAACUACUUCUACUUCCACCAACAUUGCUUAUUUGCAUCCCAAACGAGGCCAAUUACGGUGGGUUUUGGGGACAAUUUUGACCACGUUGCUAUUAUUAUGACUGUGAUUAUGCCAAUGGGCCUAUUUACCACGUUGCUAUUAUUGUGACUGUGAUUAUGACAAUGGGCCUAUUUACCAUUUACUCGCAUCAGAAUAUUUUAUGCAGAGGAAUUGCGGCUUAUUUGUGUCCUCGCUUUGAGGGUUGUACUUGAGAGAAUGACUUGUGUUAGAUAUGUUUUGAUUUGUUGUCACCAUACACGCUAUAUAUGUAAAUUGGAAGUAUGAUUGGACAUAAAAGACUUAUCUGUUCAUUUUCCAGGAGAAAAAUGCGUUUUCUUUUUCCUUGUUCAUUUUAUCUGUUCAUGUUCCAGAAG
Molecule: unclassified non-coding RNA, 1727 nt
Filed under: Hevea brasiliensis (rubber tree)
Lineage: Eukaryota; Viridiplantae; Streptophyta; Magnoliopsida; Malpighiales; Euphorbiaceae
Source: RNAcentral